Molecule: ribosomal RNA, 2195 nt
Filed under: Triticum aestivum (bread wheat)
Lineage: Eukaryota; Viridiplantae; Streptophyta; Magnoliopsida; Poales; Poaceae
Description: partial small subunit ribosomal RNA
Source: RNAcentral
AGGGUAAUUUCGUCAAAGUAAUUUAGCCGCACCGCACCAUACCGCCGCUCCCGUCCCCCAAAUCCCCAAAUCCCCUCGAACCCUAGCCGCCCCUCUGCCCUCCCCACGAACCCUAGCCGCCCCUCGAGCACGAGCCGCAGCCGAUCCAGCCACCGGCAGGGCGGCGCGAGCAGCGCCCGGUCCUACCACCGGCAGGGCGGCGCGACCUUAACCUCUCCAGGUUGCAGAGGUGGAAGGAAGCAGAGGACCGCUGCUCACGGAGGUGCCCAAGUACAAGCAGACCAUCUUCUCCGUCCUCCCCUAGGCCAUUAACUCGUCCAGCAAGCAAGGCAAGUAAACCAGGCAACAACCAAGCUGACUAGCACAGUUCCAGUUCCCGUGAGAUCUACUAUGACAAAGAUGACAAGGAGCAAGAAACUUGCAGAAGCGCCAACUACUGAAUAUGAGAAGAUUAGGGCUAAAAAUAUGAUGAGGAACAACCGAAUAUUCCAAUCACUUGGCAUCGCUGCAUUAGGUAUGAUGGUUAGGAACUCAAAUCAAAUGCAGCAAGGUAGUGCCAUCACCGGUGGGGACUCAGCUUCUGCCAUAACACAACAAGGCUCAAGCUCUGAGUACAGUCCUGACGAUGAGGUCAUUGAGGAGGAUGAAGUUGAUGAUAUUGUAGUGGAGAAGGAAGAUAAGGUUUCUAAGAAGGCAAGGAAGUCAAUCAAUAAAAAGACUAAGAAGAGUUUUGAUAAACCUUCUGAGAUGGCUCCAGGAAAAACAAGGGUGAUUGCUCCAGCCUCAGGAGGCUCAAAGAGGGUGCUACCUGGUUUGAACUCGGAUGAACAUGAAUCUGCUCGAGUCACUAGGCAAAAAACAAAGUUGUCUCUAACCAACCAUGAAGAAAGUCUUGUGCAAAUGGAUGUAGGAAGCCCAGCAAAUGUGGAUGAAGGAAGCCUCCAUGUGCACGUGGAUGUAAGAAGCUCAAUGCACGAAGAUGAAAGAAGCCUGAUGCAUGAGGGUGAAGUAAGCCUGAUGCAGAUGGGUGAAACAAGCCAUGUCCCAUCUACUCUGUGCACAAAUCAGCCAAUUGAAGUUCCUGAGUUCUCUGACCAACAGCUUGACCAACAACGGCAAUUGGACGUUGAAGCCAAGUAAUAAUAACACAUGAUCAGUUAUGAAAUCAUGAAAUGCAAACUUGAUUUAUGUUAACUGUAUGAAUGUCUCAAGAAGAAGCAUUUUGACAAUGUACCGGCCAAUCUAGUGAGUGUCAAAUCUCCUGAUAAGAAUGUGACAGAUGCGGAGUGGCAAAGGCUGGUCAAGAUGUGGUCUAUCGCAAGGCACAAGGAAACCUGUCAGUCGAACAAGGAGAACCGUUCCAAAGUUAAGUUCCAUCAGAAAACUGGUUCUCGCCCCUACAUUUCCCAUGUGCAUGCUUUGAAAGAGGCUCGUAAGCAUGAAGAGUUGACUGCGUUUGAUCUAUUCAAGGAGUGCCACAAUGGCAAGAAGACUCGUUUCUCUGAGCCAGUUAAGAAGGCGAUAGCUGACAUGGAAAAAGCUAUGGAACAAGGGGUACCAGAAGGUGGAGAACCAAAGAAUGUUGCUGCUGUUGUUGCUGACGUUCUCACUAAAGAAUGUCCCUCCAGCACAUUCCUUCAAAAUGUUGGCCUUGAGUCGAGCUCCAAGAAGAAGUUCAACAAAUCUGUAGCUGCUUUGGAUGCUCAUGUACAAGAACUAGAGUACAGGCUUGAGAAGGAGAGGCGAGUCGCUAAGCUGAUGCGAGAGGAGCUUGUUGAGGUCAAGAAGAAAUCAGAGGAGACCGAAGCUGCACGCGCCGUAGAGUACCAGUUGUUACUGCAGAGAGUUGAGGCCACCGAUGCUAGAUUUGCGCGUCUCAUGGAUCUAUUCGAAGGUAAAAUAGUUUAGUACGGCGUGGUUGAUGUUGGCUUUGGGACUUUUGAUGUUGAGUUGUUUUGACCUGGGGUUGAUGAGUUUCUUUGACUGGACAUGUGAACCACAAUAUGGACCAGAGAUUGGCUGUGGUUUGAUGAGGUUGUGUUUUGGUUGGUGCGUCUUAAUCUUAUGAACAUGGUGUACUGAUACUAAGCUACAGGCUAUGUUAUUUUGGUUGGUGCAUCUUAUGAACUUGUGGUGUAAUGAUACUGUUGGGCCUAAGUUAAUGAAAUCUUGGAGAAUUGUAUUGGUUGACUGCC